GGAAUAUAGUUCAGUUGGUAGAGUGCUUGCCUUGCAUGCAAAAGGCCCUAGGUUCAAUCUCUAGCACCA
This 69-nucleotide transfer RNA is filed under the name Marmota monax (woodchuck). RNAcentral's name for it is "tRNA.Ala". The stretch from base 7 to 64 matches the Rfam family "tRNA", at positions 8 to 63 of the family's 71-position model. From Rfam's summary of the family: Transfer RNA (tRNA) molecules are approximately 80 nucleotides in length. Their secondary structure includes four short double-helical elements and three loops (D, anti-codon, and T loops). Further hydrogen bonds mediate the characteristic L-shaped molecular structure. tRNAs have two regions of fundamental functional importance: the anti-codon, which is responsible for specific mRNA codon recognition, and the 3' end, to which the tRNAs corresponding amino acid is attached (by aminoacyl-tRNA synthetases). tRNAs cope with the degeneracy of the genetic code in two manners: having more than one tRNA (with a specific anti-codon) for a particular amino acid; and 'wobble' base-pairing, i.e. permitting non-standard base-pairing at the 3rd anti-codon position. Lineage: Eukaryota; Metazoa; Chordata; Mammalia; Rodentia; Sciuridae. The record is from RNAcentral.